UCGUGAGACAGUUCGGUCCCUAUCUGCCGUGGGCGUUGGAAGAUUGAGAGGGGCUGCUCCUAGUACGAGAGGACCGGAGUGGACGAAUCACUGGUGUUCGGGUUGUCAUGCCAAUGGCAUUGCCCGGUAGCUAAAUUCGGAAGAGAUAACCGCUGAAAGCAUCUAAGCGGGAAACUUGCCUCGAGAUGAGUCUUCCCUGGGGCUUUAAGCCCCCUGAAGGAACGUUAAAGACUAUGACGUUGAUAGGCUGGGUGUGUAAGUGCAGCGAUGCAUUGAGCUAACCAGUACUAAUGAUCCGUGAGGCUUAACCUU
Molecule: ribosomal RNA, 312 nt
Filed under: Leptospira borgpetersenii serovar Ballum
Lineage: Bacteria; Pseudomonadati; Spirochaetota; Leptospiria; Leptospirales; Leptospiraceae
Description: partial 23S ribosomal RNA
Rfam family: Bacterial large subunit ribosomal RNA
Source: RNAcentral